GACGAACGCGGCGGCGUGCCUAAUACAUGCAAGUCGAACGAACCGCGACUAAGUGCUUGCACUAAGUCAAGGUGAGUGGCGAACGGGUGAGUAACACGUGGGUAACCUACCCCAUAGUGGGGGAUAACAGUCGGAAACGACUGCUAAUACCGCAUAGGACAUGGAAUCACAUGAUUCCGUGAGGAAAGGUGGCGCAAGCUAUCGCUAAGAGAUGGACCCGCGGUGCAUUAGCUAGUUGGUAGGGUAAAGGCCUACCAAGGCGAUGAUGCAUAGCCGACCUGAGAGGGUGAUCGGCCACAUUGGGACUGAGACACGGCCCAAACUCCUACGGGAGGCAGCAGUAGGGAAUCUUCCGCAAUGGACGCAAGUCUGACGGAGCAACGCCGCGUGAGUGAAGAAGGUCUUCGGAUCGUAAAGCUCUGUUGUUAGAGAAGAACAGCGCAUAGAGUAAACUGUUAUGCGU
Molecule: ribosomal RNA, 463 nt
Filed under: Abiotrophia defectiva
Lineage: Bacteria; Bacillati; Bacillota; Bacilli; Lactobacillales; Aerococcaceae
Description: bacterial SSU rRNA
Rfam family: Bacterial small subunit ribosomal RNA
Source: RNAcentral